Molecule: long non-coding RNA, 7577 nt
Organism: Orcinus orca (killer whale)
Lineage: Eukaryota; Metazoa; Chordata; Mammalia; Artiodactyla; Delphinidae
Exons: 3
Source: RefSeq, a predicted model, not a curated record
ACAAGCUCCUCCCCUUUCCCCUCGCCCCGCCUCCUCUCCCACUCGCUCUGCCUUGGAACUUCCAGUCCACGCCCAGGAAGCCACCCACCAGCUGCAUACUAUCACCUCCCAAACCUGUCCCUGUCCAGGCCGACAUGUCAGUGCCCAGACUCAGCAGGGCCAAGACCAGCCCCAUCGUCUCCCUCUCCACCCACAGGCUUGUCCAGGCACCUGGACCACACCGCCAUGAUUCCCCAUCGAAUGAGUCACCAGGGUUUGUUCUAGCAGCGCCCACAUGAGCGGCCGUCCUCCGCAUUCACACUCCGCCCCAGCUCCAGAGCUCGUUUGCUCUCCUGGGACCUCACAGAAGCCUCCCGGUGGCCUUGCCUCCCGCCCUCCGCCCUCUGCCCCCUGCACGGUCCCAUGGAGGUUUCCUGGAAAGUCAGGUCUGGGCAUCUCAGUCCCGGCCCGGGGUCUCCCCCAGCCCCGCACGGUGAGCACGAUGCUGUUCCCACGCCGAAGCGGCCUGUCUCGAUAUUUGUCACAUAUUGUGUGAAUCACACGGAUUCUUCCAAACAGAGCAGCCGACAUAGUUCACCUGCGAUGGCCCAGGGCCACCACCGUGGGUCCCCACGACGGGCUGUGUUGUAACAGAGUGGGGUCCGCGGGGUUCCUCAGGCCCCCAGGCUGUUCACCUCUCCACCGAGCCCCAGUCCCAUCAGAGCUGCUGCUUCCCCGUCCUCUGUUCUCACCGUCGGCCCGUUUAAACCCAACGCCAUCUCCCGCAUUUCUGAUCUUCCGACCUUUGUGUCUGUGGAUAUAAACACGGCUGUGAGACCGGUGAUCCUCUUUUUGCACGUAAUUCUAAAUCGGUGGGCUCCAGUCUGAGGACUUCUCCUCUGAAUCAGAGUGCACGUGCUUCCUAACAGCCGUGCUGCUCUCCGAUUACUCUUCCCCUCGUGCGGGGAACGUGAUGGUGUUCUCGGAGCAGCACGAUGGCUUACGAGCUUGGAUGAUGUGGUCUGCUCGAGGUUUGGUGAACUGACUUAGGCAUUCAGCCGUGUGUCCAUCAGACAACAAGAAAUAAAUGCAGAAACCCCAAUCCGUGGCCUUGUUGUUUCCCUCUUAACCCGUGUACUCUCUCUGGAAGUUCUCCUCGAAUGAACCCGAAGGCCAGUCCUCCGGGGAUGCAGGGGUCCCAACCCAGGCUCCGCGGUCCCCAUGCCCACCAGCACCGACAAAGUGUGCUGAUCCCGAUUCCUUGAGGGGUUGCCCUAAUCGCGAAGGCUACAGAAUGGGUCAGACGUUAGGGACUGCAUAAAGAAAUCAAACACCUCUCAUAGAGCCUGGGUGAGGACAGAGAAAACCAGCUCAGGGCUGGCAGAAAUUCCUGAGAAUGUGACACUCAGCAUUGAGGCCACCAGGCUUGUCACUAUGGACCUUGAUUGUUUUUCAAGGAGAAUUUGAGGAAGGAAGAGGAUCUUUCCGACAUUGUAAUAAUUGUAGAAAGAAGCCAAAGAACUACCAUGAUUGAGGGCAUUUUGUCUCAAAGCCCACGUGCUCUGAUGCGUGUGUGUGUGUGUCUGUAUAUCUGUAUCUUCCGUCUCCUAAGGUAAGCCCUUUAAAGGUUUGUAUCAUCUUACAGCUCCUAACAUUGUGUUCUGAAUCUAAGACACUAACUAGAUUUUUAUUAACUGUUUCCCAGAGUAUCCAGGUGAUUUAAGUUCUACCUGAUAAAAGGAACCAUUUGAUAAGAAACAUCCUCUCGAUGGUGUUAUGUAUAUUUGGAAGCAUGUGGUAUUUGCCCAGGAAAGAAAGUGCACAUCUAAGGUGCUGGGGAAAGGCUGGGUCCCCUAGUGAGCCCUGCAGUUUUGCAUGUCCGGUAAAAUCUGGGUUCAGCCUGGACUUAGGAGGCAUCACACCACUUACUGAGUCACACACACACCCUUCUUGCGAUUCCUGUGUUUUCCCAAUCACCGUCUUCCCAAACCAGAUUCUGUGAGUACUAACAGCUGAAACUCACACAGCAAUGUGUUCUGCCAUAAAGCCCAUCAAUGGGGCUAGAAAAAUUACUUAACGUCAGAAGUCCCAGUGUAGGGCGGACCCUGGCGGGAUCUCCCGGGCUGCCCUCAGCACUAUAACAACGUGAAGCCCCUCCUCCAAAAGCAGCUGGGCUCGCCGCUCUCUCGUACAGCCGUCAGCGUCUUUUAAUUUUCUUCUCACCAGCCUCCAGUCCACCCAGAUAAUGGCCGGAUUCUUCUUGAAGGGACAUUUCCGUUUGAUGGAUCAAAUAUAAAGAGAAUAUAAAUAAGAAGAUGUGGGUAAGAACACAAAACAGCGCCCGAACCCGACAAGCAGGAGACAUUCACGUUCCGCCUUUGAAACCCUGCAGCCUAGCAAAGGCCUUGAGAGAGUCUGUCUCCCAAACAUACCCUCGUCUUUUGUGUUUCUUGAGCAUUGGUAGCGCAGGAGAAGGACCCUCGCAGGGAACCUGGGACGUGCUGUGAGGGGACAGCCCGGUGCAGCAGAGCAAAUGUGGGCUUCAGCGCCAGACAGAUCUGUUCCAAGACUGGCCUCACUGAGCCCCGGGGACCGAUGCAGGACACUGGCUGCUGCGUGGAGAAAAGUCUCUAAGGGCCGAGCAGGGAGGCGUCUGGAGGUCCCGCAGGCGGACACACGGGCGGUGAGAUCGCGGUGCCGGCACCACGUGGAGGCUGCGAGCAGAGGCUGCUUCUCCGUGUUUCCUGAAGGCCGAGCUGAUAGGAUUUGCUGACGGGUCGGUUCGCUGUGAAAGAGAAAGAAACGGUGCAGACGGGCCGGGAAAGUCGGCCCCUGGCCCUCACCGAGACAAGCCACGGGGGCACGGGGCUGAGAAGGACACGAGUCCAGGGGAGAAGCAGUCUCAGGUGGAGAGACUUCCAAGGCAGCAGGGCGAACUGGAAAAUGUCCGACAGCUGGCUCUCUGCGGGGAGAGCCCUGAUUUGCACCAUUUGCUUAUUUCUGACGGGCAGACACUCCCACCACAGGUGAGGCCAAGCCCGCAACAAUACUGAACGUGGCGCUGGGGACAGAUGUGCAGGACUGGCCCCGGAGAGCACCACGGCGGACGUGUGUGCCCGUGUGCUGCCACCAGGGAGCAUGUCACCCACACGGCCGUCACGUCUCCACAUGCCCCGUUGGCCCAAGGGCUUGAGGGACCGAUGGGUUCCUCUUCGUUUCAUCAGUGCAAAUGCAGAACCUGCAAGAGUUCAAUCAGCAUUCCUUGAACAGAACCGAGCUUCAUUUUAAUGCCGUAUUCAACCACGUGAAGAGUAAUGCGCAUCUCGCCAUCACACUGAACACUCAGGGCAGGCUCAUUCUUUAUAUAGUUGACGUGUGCUAGGCGCUGAAAUGAGUUAUUUAUUUCUAUAACACUUAGUGAAAUAAAUCCUCCUGAGGCUGCCUGUGUAAGAUCCCUUUUUAUAAGUAGUCAAAAUUGACCUUAAACUGAGCUGAGCAGCAUAGGAUUUUAGUUCUAAUAUCCUAAUGAUUUAGUAAUUAAUAACUUUUAUAUUAAUCAGAAGAAGAGUAUGGAAAAUAAACUAUUAAAUAAUAAUAAAAAGGAAGAGAGACUUUUCUUUUCUUUUUUUUUAUAAGUAGUGAGUUUCCAUCAAGGCAAGGAAUGAAUUACAAUCAAGGUCAUUUCCCAUCUAGCGGGUCCUUGUUGACUAAUUUCAGGUAGCUCCUCUGUAAAAUCGGUUCUGUCUGUCUCCACUCUUCAUACUCUGUUUUCUUUCUCUUUCUUUUUGCCACGCCACACAUCUUGCGGGAUCUUAGUUCCCCCACUGGGGAGUGAACCCGUGCCCCCUGCAGUGGAAGCGUGGACUCCCAACCACUGGGCCGCCAGGGGAGUCCCCAUACUCUGUUUUCCAAACUAAAAAUCAAUAACCUCUAACAAGGAGGCGCUAACCAACCCCUCCCUGCCACAGACUCUGCUGCCACGUGACUGGGCCUUUCCUAUCUCAUCUCACUUCCUACUCAGUGUCAUCGGCUUUCCUUCAUCCUAAUGCUAUCAAAGAAAUAGUGGAAAGAUGGCAGAUCGAAUGCAUGUUUUAUCUGUUCUCUCCCCCAAGCCCCAUUCAAAUGACCACAAAAUUAUGUAUUUAAAUGUCUAACUCCCCAAGGAUAAAAUCAGAGGAAAGACGGUAGCAGAUGAGACCGAACCAACAAAAUGUGGGAAUGGAGGGCCACGAGGGAGUGGCCAGCGCCGUCUCAGCAGCAGGGGAACAGCUGUGACCUCACUGCUGCAAGGGGGUCUGCAGUCACUUGCAAGUUCAUGUCCUUGGGCCUCCAGCAGGCUCUUGCUCAGAAGAAGGGACAAGGCCGAAGGGCAGAAGGGCCCUCGCUGACAGUGCAGGCGUGCAGGACAGGCAGCUGCUGGCGCCCCGUCCCCCUUCCUCAGAUCCCUCUCUGCUGAGAACUGAGAGCUGCGGGGGGAGGGGCAGAGUCCCUCUUGCCUGUUGCUUCUGGGGCAGGAGUAAGAGAGAGACCCAUCUGCUUCAGGAGCGACAAGGCAGAGCCUCUCCCAGGACAUGGAGGGAGGUGGAAGCAAAAAUCCUGGAGCACCACAGGAAGGGGAGGAAAAUGUUUGGGGUCCAGGAUCCUAUGUGUCUGCCAAGAAGUGGUCUGCAGCUGAUGAGGGAGGGGCAGGAAAAGCCUAUUCACGUCGGAUACAGGCAGUUUGGUUACCAAGGGGACAGGAAUGGGGGUGGGAGUGGGGAUCCAUCCCUGAGGCCAAGGUGCGCAGGGCCUGCCCAAGACUGAGACUGAAACAGGAGAGCAGAAACCCCCCUACCCCCGCCCCAAGCCACACACUUAGUAACAGUGGACGGCGGUCUACUGUGAGGGUCGGGGGGUGCCUUGGAGAGAGGCCCCUCCUCUAUGGUGCAGUAACGCAGGGACAGCUAAAGCUAGAAACUGGCGUCAGGGAAACUGAGAAAACCCUCUAGCAGCUGGGUCCCCUCUCUGAGCUCAGACACAACUGUGUCCUGUUGCCAGAGGCAGUGGAGGCCAGCGGUCCAAUGACGGUAACGACGGUAACGACGAAACCCAGACCCUGCUCAUCUACUCUACAUCUGCUAAGCCCUCCACACCAAGUCCUGACAGCAGACACAUGCCCAUCUCUGCGUAUAGAUUCUGUUUACCUAGGUCUCUGCUAUUCUUCUGCCUGCAAUGUCCUGUAUUCAAUCAAAAAUUACAAGACAUAUGUAAGAGCAAGAAAAAAACACCCAUUGUUAAGGGAUAAAGAGUCAACAGAAUGAGACUCAGAGGUGACCCAGAUGUUGUAACUACUUCUUUAAAAUAGUGAUUAAUCUGUUAAAAGAUCUACCAGACAAGGUGGACAGCAUGCGUGACGACUUUCAGCAGAGACAUGGGAACUGGAAUAAAGACUCAAGUGGAAGAACUGGAAGUGAAUAAACAUGACAUCAAAUUGAAGAACUCCUUUAAUGGAUGAAUCAGCAGACUGAACACACGCCAAGGAGAGACUCAGUGACUUGAUGGGAAGUAAACAGGCCAACCUUAGACUUCUCAGCAGCCACCUUAGAAUCUGGAAGACGAUGGUUACUACCUUCAACCACCAGUCGAGAAUGAGGUUAGAGACAGUUAUACGUGAAGGGUCUCAAAACAUUUGCUUUCCAUGCGCCUUUUCUCAGGAACUUCCUCAAGUGUUUUCUCCACCAAAACAAGGGAGUCAACAAAGAGAAAGGAGGAAGACAUGGGUUCUUUAGUCGGGAACCCAACAGACGUAAGAGGCAAAGCGAGUCUCCAGGACGACGGUGCAGGCGAGGUGGCUGAGCAUCUGGCCUGGAGGUCAGAGGAGGACAGAGGCUCCAGCAAGAGGAUCGCCAAGAAGAAAGUGGGGCUGGUGGAUACGGUUAUAGCGCCGAGCUUUCACCCAGGGUGGGAGAAAGCUAACUGGCCAGAGAAGCCCCAUCGGCCAUCCGUCCGACCAGCUGCCUGACAAGCUGACCUUCUCCUCGUUACGUCACCGCCCACCAGCAGGGCCACAUCUUGGAUCUUGUCAUCGCUCAGACCUGCUCCACCUCCAGAGACUUCCUGCCGGAGCUGCCUCUCCUGACACCUCCACACCUUCACACCCAUGGAACCUGCUCUUCCUCCCCGUCAGGAGUUCCGCUCCUGAGCCCGCCCUGUCCUCCUGUCCCCGUCACCUUCCUUUGAAGGCAAUCACCUGCUGCCCUUCCCGCUCAGAAUGGGAACUCCUUUACCUGUGGUUGAAGACACGACGAGGUCAUCAUGAUUGCACAUAGUGUUAACUUAGAAUGCUAUUUCUAAACUUGACUUUGGAAUGCAGGUGGUAUUGUUUCUGCUAUUUCCAAGUGUCAUAAUUCUGUGCUACGUAAUGAGCACUAUAAAAUAAGUAAAAAUGACCAGUCUUAGCGAAAGGACUAUUGAUUGCUAACACAAUUAUCCACUGAGGAUUUUCGCUGCAAGGGGCUCUGAGGGAGGAGAUGACGCGCCUGCUGCCCAGUGAAGAGCUUCAGGACUUGGCUGAAGGCCACUUCCCGGGACAGACCUCCAGAGAAGCAGGCAAAUGAAUGGCAGUUUCUGGAACAUGGCAGAAAUUCAAGAAAGCAGGACGAGAGUGGAUGCUAACUGCUAAUAGGAUCAAAUGCCAAAGAAAAUGGUCUAAGUAAAGAACACCCCAGCGGAAACACGUCCUGGGGGAGCUGGUACAUCGAGCGUGGACGCGGGCUGCAUUGCUAUUUGGUCUAAGGCCGUGGUGCUCCAACGUUUUACUUUUUUAAGGAGUAGAACUCUUUCUUCAAAUUGAAACAAAAGCAGAGCUCUGAUUAAAACUGAGGUCAGCGGUCUGGAGCCCCACUACCCAGUCCCACUGACUUUGGAGGUGAUUCCAAAGCCCCUCUUUAGAACUAGGAAGAUGGGCGAUCGUUUGGAAAUCUCCCCUGAUCCAACCCCCACUGGUUCCUAGCAUCACUGCCAGCAAGUACAGUAAUAUUUAUGAAGACACUUGUCCUAGACUGCCUGAACGCACGUGUGGAGUUACAAUAUCUAAUAAAUAAUGGAAUCUGAUUUUUUUUUCUAAGAAACUUUCUCAAAUUCUUGCAAAGUUCCUACGUGCUGUUCCUUUUAUUUUUUCUCAGCUCCAGCACCCAGACACCCAAUGUUAGGAGCGUCAAUGUCACCUUCUUCAGCAUCUCUCUCAAUUAUUCAUCUAUUACUCAAAUACCUAAUUAGUAAUUAGUUAUACACAUAUGUGUGUAUACUAUGAUAGGCAAUUGGGAAACAAAUUGGAAUAAGGCAUAAUCUGUGCUCCCCAAGAAACUUGGAAUCUAACAGAGAUGAAAACUGAUAGAAGAUGCAUAGAUAUUAUGGACACCCAGAGAAAGGACAUAUAAAUUAGCCUGAUGACAGUGAACAGAGGUCAAGGAACACUUUCCAGAGAAAUGACAUUUGACCAAGUAUUGAACGAGAAACAGGAUUAAAAUAAAAACAAAUGAUUUGCUAGAGAGAUGGGCAAAGUCCAGAUUGUGAAAAAGUUUGUGCUUUUCCUCUUGUAUUUAUGUGACAUUCUCAAC